This 390-nucleotide ribosomal RNA is filed under the name uncultured Acidobacteriota bacterium. RNAcentral's name for it is "bacterial SSU rRNA". It matches the Rfam family "Bacterial small subunit ribosomal RNA", at positions 8 to 410 of the family's 1533-position model. The record is from RNAcentral. Lineage: Bacteria; Pseudomonadati; Acidobacteriota.
AGAGUUUGAUCCUGGCUCAGAAUCAACGCUGGCGGCGUGCCUAACACAUGCAAGUCGAACGAGAAAGUGGUAGCAAUACCAUGAGUAAAGUGGCGCACGGGUGAGUAACACGUGACUAACCUACCCUUGAGUGGGGGAUAACUGAGGGAAACCUUAGCUAAUACCGCAUAAUACCCACGGGUCAAAGGAGCAAUUCGCUCGAGGAGGGGGUCGCGGCCGAUUAGUUAGUUGGCGGGGUAAUGGCCCACCAAGACGAUGAUCGGUAUCCGGCCUGAGAGGGCGCACGGACACACUGGAACUGAAACACGGUCCAGACUCCUACGGGAGGCAGCAGUGGGGAAUUUUGCGCAAUGGGGGAAACCCUGACGCAGCAACGCCGCGUGGAGGAUG